GAUGAACGCUGGCGGCGUGCCUAAUACAUGCAAGUCGAGCGAACAGAUGAGGAGCUUGCUCCUCUGACGUUAGCGGCGGACGGGUGAGUAACACGUGGAUAACCUACCUAUAAGACUGGGAUAACUUCGGGAAACCGUAGCUAAUACCGAAUAAUAUAUUGAACCGCAUGGUUCACUAGUGAAAGACGGUUUUGCUUUCACUUAUAGAUUGAUCCGCGCCGCAUUAGCUAGUUGGUAAGGUAACGGCUUACCAAGGCAACGAUGCGUAGCCGACCUGAGAGGGUGGUCGGCCACACGGGAACUGAGACACGGUCCAGACUCCUACGGGAGGCAGCAGUAGAGAAUCUUCCGCGAUGGGCGAAAGCCUGACGGAGCAACGCCGCGUGAGUGAUGAAGGUCUUCGGAUCGGAAAACUCUGUUAUUAGGGAAGAACAAAUGUGUAAGUAACUAUGCACGUCUUGACGGUACCUGAACAGAAAGCCACGGCUAACUACGUG
This 497-nucleotide ribosomal RNA is filed under the name uncultured bacterium. RNAcentral's name for it is "partial 16S ribosomal RNA". It matches the Rfam family "Bacterial small subunit ribosomal RNA", at positions 28 to 507 of the family's 1533-position model. The record is from RNAcentral.